UGGGAGCUAAGCUAUGGGUAU
Molecule: microRNA, 21 nt
Filed under: Homo sapiens (human)
Lineage: Eukaryota; Metazoa; Chordata; Mammalia; Primates; Hominidae
Description: hsa-miR-5591-5p
Source: miRBase by way of RNAcentral